RNAcentral lists this ribosomal RNA (19 nucleotides) under Leishmania major. RNAcentral describes it as "partial 18S ribosomal RNA". The record is from RNAcentral. Lineage: Eukaryota; Euglenozoa; Kinetoplastea; Trypanosomatida; Trypanosomatidae.
CCGACAGAUGGAUCAUUUU